UACGGAGGGUGCAAGCGUUAUCCGGAAUCAUUGGGUUUAAAGGGUCCGCAGGCGGGCAUAUAAGUCAGUGGUGAAAGCCUAUUGCUUAACAAUAGAACUGCCAUUGAUACUGUAUGUCUUGAAUUCGGUCGAAGUGGGCGGAAUGUGUAGUGUAGCGGUGAAAUGCUUAGAUAUUACACAGAACACCGAUAGCGAAGGCAGCUCACUAGGCCUGAAUUGACGCUCAUGGACGAAAGCGUGGGGAGCAAACAGGAUUAGAUACCCUGGUAGUCCACGCCGUAAACUAUGAUUACUCGUUUUCGGCGAUAUACAGUCGGAGACUAAGCGAAAGUGAUAAGUAAUCCACCUGGGGAGUACGAUCGCAAGGUUG
This 370-nucleotide ribosomal RNA is filed under the name uncultured prokaryote. Its description in RNAcentral is "bacterial SSU rRNA". It matches the Rfam family "Bacterial small subunit ribosomal RNA", at positions 524 to 896 of the family's 1533-position model. The record is from RNAcentral.